AACGAACGUUAGCGGCGCGCCUAAUACAUGCAAGUCGAGCGAGAAAGGGCUUCGGCCCCAGUAAAGCGGCGCACGGGUGAGUAACACGUAGGUCAUCUCCCCUCGAGUGGUGGAUAACCCUCCGAAAGGAGGGCUAAUACAGCAUGAGACCACGAUCCCGCUGGGAUUGCGGUCAAAGCAGGCCUCUACAUGUAAGCUUGCGCUUGAGGAUGAGCCUGCGGCCCAUCAGCUUGUUGGUAAGGUAACGGCUUACCAAGGCUAAGACGGGUA
RNAcentral lists this ribosomal RNA (270 nucleotides) under uncultured bacterium. Its description in RNAcentral is "partial 16S ribosomal RNA". It matches the Rfam family "Bacterial small subunit ribosomal RNA", at positions 29 to 285 of the family's 1533-position model. The record is from RNAcentral.